RNAcentral lists this ribosomal RNA (927 nucleotides) under Triticum aestivum (bread wheat). Its description in RNAcentral is "partial small subunit ribosomal RNA". Lineage: Eukaryota; Viridiplantae; Streptophyta; Magnoliopsida; Poales; Poaceae. The record is from RNAcentral.
AUGACCAAAACUCAAGCGCAGAGGCAACGACUUACCUUGAACAGGGAGCAGUUCAUGAUGGUUGUUCCUCGUUGGUGCUAUGGAAGGCAUGACGGAUGGGCGAGUUUGGUGGAUAGGUGGCUUGGCGCCGAUGCAGAGUUUGCUGCCAAGAGCAUCAAGGCCCGAGCUAACCGUGGAGCCGACGGGACACACGGCCAAGGAAACAGGAACCACUGGGGCUUCAAGGCCAUGAAGGAGGACAAGUUGAAGAGGCCGCUCUCAGACAUGGAGUCGUGGAAGCUGGCCCGCGAGCGGAGUCAUCGCAAGGAGGGCGAGAGCCAGUACUACGGCAAGACCGAGGAGCACCUGGGGUCUUACAUUCAUCACUAUCAGGAGUUGCAUUCGGAUGUUCCUGUUGCUGAGGUCACCCAGUCUCAGAUCGACGACACGACAGUGGUGGCCAUCCAGGGGAAGAAGAAUGGCCGGUAUCCGUGUUUCGACGGCUUGAUCACUCCUUCGAUCUCGUACACACAACUUCGGGCUACCAACCUGAGCCAGUUAGAGAGUACGUGGCGUUCACAGACUCCCUUAGCCCGCCAGCAUGCUGCAUAUAAGGAGUUUGCCGAGUAUAGGAAUCUCGAGGUGCGGGAGUACUUGAAACGAGUGGAGGCAAACGAUGAUUACAACCGUCAGAUGAUGACGGCUAUGUUGGCGUCUUGGAGUAACCGCACGAAUCCACCGCAAAUGGGACCCCCACAACCACCUACGGGAGAACCCCCACACGUGCCCAUGUUUGAUGAAUGGGUGGCACUAGACAGUGAUGGUCCGGGGACCGGUGGCUCGACUCCUGCUCCGUCGGCCCCAGUCACUCCGAUCUGGCAGAGUGAUGGUGGUCGCGAUGGCGGUUUUGGCGGAGGUGGUGGUUUUCGCGGAGGUGGUCUUGCUUGA